AUUGAACGCUGGCGGCAGGCUUAACACAUGCAAGUCGAGCGAGCGGCGGACGGGUGAGUAAUGUCCGGGAAACUGCCUGAUGGAGGGGGAUAACUACCGGAAACGGUAGCUAAUACCGCAUACCAUCAGAUGUGCUCAGAUGGGAGUAGCUAGUAGGUGGGGUAAUGGCUCACCUAGGCGACGAUCCCUAGCUGGUCUGAGUGGUUGACCAGCCACACUGGAACUGAGACACGGGCCAGACUCCUACGGGAGGCAGCUGGGGGGAAUAUUUCACAAUGGGCGCAGGCCUGAUGCAGCCAUGCCGCGUGAGUGAAGAAGGCCUUCAGGUUGUAAAGCACUUUCAGCGAGGAGGCGGUACUCGCAGAAGAAGCACCGGCUAGCUCCGUGCGAGCAGCCGCGGUAAUAC
Molecule: ribosomal RNA, 406 nt
Filed under: uncultured bacterium
Lineage: Bacteria
Description: partial 16S ribosomal RNA
Rfam family: Bacterial small subunit ribosomal RNA
Source: RNAcentral